RNAcentral lists this ribosomal RNA (292 nucleotides) under uncultured bacterium. Its description in RNAcentral is "partial 16S ribosomal RNA". The record is from RNAcentral.
GGACUACACGGGUAUCUAAUCCUGUUUGCUCCCCACGCUUUCGCGUCUCAGUGUCAGAAAUGGUCCAGAAGGCCGCCUUCGCCACCGGUAUUCCUCCUAAUAUCUACGAAUUUCACCUCUACACUAGGAAUUCCACCUUCCUCUACCACUCUCCAGCUAGUUAGUUUCGGAUGCACUUCCUCGGUUGAGCCCAGGGAUUUCACACCCGACUUAACUAACCACCUACACGCGCUUUACGCCCAAUGAUUCCGAACAACGCUAGCACCCUACGUAUUACCGCGGCGGCUGGCAC